Molecule: long non-coding RNA, 1306 nt
Organism: Homo sapiens (human)
Lineage: Eukaryota; Metazoa; Chordata; Mammalia; Primates; Hominidae
Product: long intergenic non-protein coding RNA 882
Source: Ensembl
GAGUUCUCAGCGCCUCCCGCCGCGCAGGCUCGGCGUUGGCCUCCGCGGCCCGUGCGAGUGCGCCCUUCUCGGGUCCCCUAGGUCGCGGGGCAGCCGGGGCGGAAGGGGCUUGUUCAUUAUUUUGAGAGUUUGUUGUGAACGUCAUAACCUUUCGUCCUUAAAUAUUGCCGAUACUUGACCUACGCAAGAGACAAUGUCAUGUGAUUCAGCCUAAUAUCUCAGAGGAUGCAGCAUUCAAGGUUCUAUCUUGGAAGCAGAGACUGUGCCCUCACCAGAUGCUGAACCUGCUGAGCACCCUGAUCUUCCACUUCACCUUCAUCAGAACUACUGGGGCUGUGGCUGAGAUGUCACAUGGCAGAUAGGAUCACAAAUUUCUGUUGUAUCUGGAUGGAGAUCAGCAGGAGGAUCUAUGGACUGCUGUGAUUGCACCUGCCAUCUUAUGCAGAAAUGACCUGAAGACAGACUGAAACAACGUGUUCUACAGCCUGAAAAUAUCUACCUUGACUUACAGUUUUAUUAAUGCUGGUGUGAUCAGACUGGACAAAAAUUAGCAUAUGUUAUUAACUGAUCUAAUUCAAGUGCCAAUUCUUAAUAGAAACACAAAACAAUAAAAGCAAUUCAGAAAAUAUUUACUAUUUGAUUUCUUCAAGCUCCAAACAGGCUUGUGCUUAGCUGUAGAAACUUGAAUAUAUACAAAUCUACAUGGAUAGAAUUCUUAGUCUUCUUUGGGCCAGGUGUGUUAGCCCCUUGGGAAAGGAUAAAGUUUUGGAAUAUAUUUUUAUUCAUGAACCUGCUCUCUUUAAGACUUCUGAGGAAAAGAGCUGCUGGGCAGAUGAGUAGAAUAUGUUACUACUGUUCCGACAUGUCUACCCAUCAAAACUAGCUGAUACAGUACACUUUAAUGACCCUUCUAUAGUCAAAACUGACAUUGACAUUGACAUUAACAGAAAAGAUUUGGGACAAAGAACUGUGUUCAUGCAGCAAAUCAGCCUCAAACUUCACCACAAGCUGCACAUUUUAUGCUACUGUAUUCUGCUUAAGCACUUAUUUGUAUUUAUGUAAACUGAAUGAUCCUUUAAUACUUAAGGACUUUAUUCUGGGUGAGUUAGAAUCACACUGUUUUGGCAGGAAAACUCUUUGAUAGGAAAAACUGUAUGGCUUGAUAAUUUAAGAGCUAAAAGUAGCCAAAUCAGGAACUACUGAAAUUCUUCAGUAUCUGUUAGAAUAUCUCCUGUUUGAGCCAUGUUUGUAAAUGAUGUUCAAAGGCAUUUCAAAAGCAUGUAAAUUAAAAAAACAAUUCAUUUGA